This 459-nucleotide ribosomal RNA is filed under the name uncultured bacterium. RNAcentral describes it as "partial 16S ribosomal RNA". It matches the Rfam family "Bacterial small subunit ribosomal RNA", at positions 338 to 795 of the family's 1533-position model. The record is from RNAcentral.
CCUACGGGAGGCAGCAGUGAGGAAUAUUGGUCAAUGGUCGGGAGACUGAACCAGCCAAGCCGCGUGAGGGAUGAAGGUACAGAGUAUCGUAAACCUCUUUUGUCAGGGAACAAAGGCGGGGACGUGUCCCCGGAUGAGUGUACCUGAAGAAAAAGCAUCGGCUAACUCCGUGCCAGCAGCCGCGGUAAUACGGAGGAUGCGAGCGUUAUCCGGAUUUAUUGGGUUUAAAGGGUGCGCAGGCGGUCUGUUAAGUCAGCGGUAAAAGCCCGGGGCUCAACCCCGGCCCGCCGUUGAAACUGGCAGUCUCGAGUUGGAGAGAAGUAUGCGGAAUGCGCGGUGUAGCGGUGAAAUGCAUAGAUAUCGCGCAGAACUCCGAUUGCGAAGGCAGCAUGCCGGCUCCACACUGACGCUGAGGCACGAAAGCGUGGGUAUCGAACAGGAUUAGGUACCCUUGUAGUC